GGAUGAGCCUGCGUACCAUUAGCUAGUUGGUGGGGUAAGAGCCUACCAAGGCGACGAUGGUUAGCUGGUCUGAGAGGAUGAUCAGCCACACUGGAACUGGAACACGGUCCAGACUCCUACGGGAGGCAGCAGUGAGGAAUUUUGCGCAAUGGGGGAAACCCUGACGCAGCAACGCCGCGUGAGUGAUGAAGGCUUUCGGGUCGUAAAGCUCUGUCGAUUGGGAAGAAGGUAUACUGGGUUAACAGUCCGGUAUAUUGACGGUACCGUUGAAGGAAGCACCGGCUAACUCCGUGCCAGCAGCCGCGGUAAUACGGGGGGUGCAAGCGUUAUUCGGAAUUAUUGGGCGUAAAGGGCGCGUAGGCGGUUGGAAAAGUCAGAUGUGAAAGCCCCGGGCUUAACCUGGGAAGUGCAUUUGAUACUAUUUGACUUGAGUAUGGGAGAGGGUAGUGGAAUUCCUGGUGUAGAGGUGAAAUUCGUAGAUAUCAGGAGGAACACCUGUGGCGAAGGCGGCUACCUGGACCAAUACUGACGCUGAGGCGCGAAGGCGUGGGGAGCAAACAGGAUUAGAUACCCUGGUAGUCCACGCAGUAAACGAUGAUCACUAGGUGUAGCGGGUAUUGACCCCUGCAUGUGCCGCAGUUAACGACAUUAA
Molecule: ribosomal RNA, 652 nt
Filed under: uncultured bacterium
Lineage: Bacteria
Description: bacterial SSU rRNA
Rfam family: Bacterial small subunit ribosomal RNA
Source: RNAcentral